UUCCAUGGGGGAAACCGUGAUUAGGGGACACCCAAUGGCAGCGUCAUAUGUUGGCUUUCCAGGUGUGUAAAAUACACCUGUCAACAAGGGCCGGGCAAAAACCGUGCCCGCCCCCCCGGUUACCCCCGCCGCCCCAGUGGUGAUCCUUAUUAUUGGGUCUAAAGGGUCCUUAACCCGUUUGGUCAAUCCUCCUGGAAAUCUUACCGCUCAACCUUUAGGGUUUCCGGGAAAACUGCCCUGCUUGGAACCCGGAAAAGUUAAAAGUACUUUCGGGGUAAGAGUGAAAUCUUGUAAUCCCUGUGGGACCCCCUGUGGCGAAAGGCUCUUACCCAAACGGGUUCUACCGUCAAGGAACAAAGCUUGGGGCCCCAACCCGAAUAAAUUCCCCGGUAAUCCCUACCCUAAACCAUUCUUCCUUAGUGUCCGGCAUGGGUCCACCCUUUCUGGUGCCCCAAGGAAACCCUGAAACCAACCACCUGGGAAGUACCGGCCCCA
This 495-nucleotide ribosomal RNA is filed under the name uncultured archaeon. RNAcentral's name for it is "partial 16S rRNA". It matches the Rfam family "Archaeal small subunit ribosomal RNA", at positions 351 to 846 of the family's 1478-position model. The record is from RNAcentral.